Molecule: long non-coding RNA, 1385 nt
Filed under: Callithrix jacchus (white-tufted-ear marmoset)
Lineage: Eukaryota; Metazoa; Chordata; Mammalia; Primates; Cebidae
Description: lncRNA (ENSCJAG00000077927.1)
Source: RNAcentral
CUACGCAUUGUGACUUUAAUCCCUGACAAUCUUGGGUGAGAGACAUUUUAUUGAUGACCCUCCUAACACUGAUCUGUGGAAGACUAAUUCUGUCUCUUUCCAGUACUCCCGGAUGCAACUGCACCCAAUAGGUAUGUGUCACACGAGAGAUGUAGCUACAAACAUCUUUUCCUUUUGCCAAUUCACACUUUUAUUAGCCACGUUAUCAUAAGCAAGGGUGGCUUGUUCUUAGUACAUUUUAGAUGGCUCUUCUCUUGAAACAUUGUCAUUUCCUCUAAAUGUUUGGCCAUUAUCAGCUGGCUGUAGUGUUAAGUCUUGGUUUUUCCUUUCUCACUUCCAUUUUUAGCCCAUGGAACUAAAGCUAACUCAUUUCAGGUAGUGCAACGUGAGACACAUCAUUUGGUGCUCCUGACACUGAGGUCUCACAACUGUGAAGGGGUGUCAUGUUCCCUGGUCUACCCAUCACUCAGGACAUCAAAUCCUGGGGCUCUCUUCACAAACAGACCUUGUAGAUUUCCGUGAUUCUGACAACUGUGUUGCAGCAGAUAGCAGCUGGUGGCUUUUCUAAUGCAUUGCAAAGGCAGUUCGGGCUGGUUGUGGAACAGAAAGUGCUGUGUGGGCCGGAUGACUGUUCUAGCCACGCGCUGUGGAGGGUGAGGUGCCUGCUACUCCCAUACUGUCACAUGUUGGUGUCAAGCCUGCAGGGCAGAGGCUAUGGAGCACCUGCCUCUACUGAGGUGGCCUGGCGGCAUCACCUGCUGAGCUGUCUGUACCAAGGCAGCUGAAGCCUACACAGAAACCUCCUUGUGCAACUCUCCACGUGAACCAGUCACUGGAACUGCGGUGCCCUGGGCGAGAGAUUAACGAGAUUUCACCAGCAGGGACACCAAACCCCACUUGUAGGGCUGUGAGAGGAUUGAACCAGAAAAUAGCCAGGCCCUGGCACAGAGCUCCAUGUGUGAAGUCUGCUGAAUCCGCCAUGCAACUGAAUCCACAGGCAAUUCUCCAGAAAGGGUGCCAGAAAAAUGCUCAACACCUAGGGCUUAAGUCAAAGAUACAACAAAUGAGGCUGGAAGGGAACAUCCAUAGCUUGCAUUAUUCAUCCAGUGGGCUUGGAUCCUUACAACACCCCACCAAGUCCUUGUUGUGACUUUAUUUGAAUGCUAGUGAGCUUAUCAUUGCUCCUUUCCCUCUCCCUUUCUUUUAAAAAAUUCUUUCUUAGCUAUUUAUUAGACACUUACUACCUGCCAGGCAGAGUUAGGCACAAGGGAUAUCAUGGCAAGAGAAACAGAAGUGUAUCUAUCCACAGGCACAUUUGGAGGGAAGGUUAAUGUUGUGGGACUUUUCCUUAGUUCAGCUAAAGGCAGGGUCCUUGUCACACAGCU